Long non-coding RNA from Carassius gibelio (silver crucian carp), 1654 nucleotides. RefSeq lists it as uncharacterized. The transcript is spliced from 6 exons. The record is from RefSeq and is a predicted model, not a curated record. Lineage: Eukaryota; Metazoa; Chordata; Actinopteri; Cypriniformes; Cyprinidae.
GGGCGGACGAGCUCGACGAGCAGUAACGCUUCUGUCAUCAUUCACCUCGUGCAUGCGUUGUGGACAGCCACGCACCCUGUCUGCAUGCAGGCACGGCACUUUUUGAAACCGCGUGGAUGGAUGCACGGCUGUGCGUGAACCCUCUUGACGACGAAAAUUACAUAAUGUGGACGGUGCGCGGAUGCGGAUGGUCAAAUUAUACUUUGGCCUUUAUCAGUGGCGCACGAUAUGAGAAGGAGGUCUCUGCGGAACUAAAAGAGGCUUUUCCCAAUUUUUGGGCAUCUUCAAACUGAAAUAGGUGUUUUUCUAUCUCUUUCUCUGAUUUGCUCAAAUUGAGUAGGCGAUUCCGAAAUGCAUUUUUCCCAUCAACCCAAGUAUAGCAAGUGAUGCGGAAAUUAAGCACAAGCGCCGUCUGCUACUGAGAGAUCGCCUACAGUACAUAUGAAUGAAUAUCCACAUAUUGCAAGAAAUGCAGUAAUUGUAGUAUGUUUUACCGAUACCAGGACUGGAUGCAUGGGCUUCACAAUUCUGAUGAUCAACUGCUGCUAACCGUCUUUCUGUGCAUUUUUAUAAGGAAUUCUGUGCAGGCUCAUGUGUCAGUUGGAACAGUGCGUUCCAUUUUGCAAAGGACGUUUUUUCAUGCAUAUUUAUAUUUUGAGGCACUGACCCACCAUGAUUAUAACUUUUCAUGUCUAAAAUGUGGUCAUCAUCCUCCAGUUGUUGUGAUGGAUUUACACAGAAAGGGAGUGUUCAGCAUGCCAGUCGGUGACAUAAGUGAACCACAUGAAACCUACAAUGGUGAGGUGAAUUCAGAAGACUUCUGGGAGACUCUUUCAAUGGAGAGGAUCGCCGCUGGCUUGUUGAAAAGUUGCUGACUUUAGAAAACUUUGCCAGGCCUGUGGAGUUGCUACUCAAGAUCAAAGACUGAUCUUCUAUCCAGACUGAGACGACAGAUGCAAACCAGAACUGCAUAUGACAAAAUAUUUCAGGAAGUUUGGGGAGAAUCAGGUGGAUGACCAGUCAUUUUAUGUCCUUGUGGUGUGGUUUACAGUGUGAAAUGUCUCAUCCGUGCUGAAAGUCUUAGAGACUUUUCUGACAUGUUGUUCUUUUGGAAACACAUGUCAAACAUCUGUAUUUAUGAUUUUGUCAGAGGACUGGUCACCCAUGCCAAUGUUCAGAGACCAGAAGCAAUGCCAUUUGCACCAUUUGACGGGCGGCUUGCAGAAGAUACAGAAGACGAUCUGAGGGCUGCACUGAGUGGAACCCUUACUGUUAGCCUACCUUGACUGAAUGAAAAGAAGUUGGAUGAAGAUGUCAGUUGCCAUCCAGUGACUGGAUCCUCAGAUCACUAUGCCCUAUAUGACAAAUACCACGAGUCUAAUUCUGAGGAUGUGCGAGACUCACUCAGAAAGAUCCAGCUUGUUCCAGAGUUGGCUGGUAGUGUUAACACACAAGCCGCAGAACAGCUUUUUUUCUGGAAUGAGGAAGAAUAACUACUUCCUGAAUAUGAUGUCUCCCACCACUCACAUGUUUUUUGUCAGAAAUAUUUUGCACAUUCAGAAUGAGGAGAAAAACAAAGCAAUGCUGAAAAAAAUCCAAAAGUGCCACUCAAAAACUACUGUGAAUCUCCAAAAAGAUUCGCUUGGACGUCUGG